Molecule: transfer RNA, 97 nt
Filed under: Streptomyces longispororuber
Lineage: Bacteria; Bacillati; Actinomycetota; Actinomycetes; Kitasatosporales; Streptomycetaceae
Description: tRNA-Pro
Source: RNAcentral
GUCGACGGUGACGCGCGCGGCGAACGGCGCGAGGGUGGGGUCCUCGACGGUGAGCGUGGCGCCGGGCGCCGAGCCGAUCGUGCCGGCCCCGGCGGCG